This 497-nucleotide ribosomal RNA is filed under the name uncultured bacterium. RNAcentral describes it as "partial 16S ribosomal RNA". It matches the Rfam family "Bacterial small subunit ribosomal RNA", at positions 28 to 507 of the family's 1533-position model. The record is from RNAcentral.
GACGAACGCUGGCGGCGUGCCUAAUACAUGCAAGUAGAACGCUGAAGAGAGGAGCUUGCUCUUCUUGGAUGAGUUGCGAACGGGUGAGUAACGCGUAGGUAACCUGCCUUGUAGCGGGGGAUAACUAUUGGAAACGAUAGCUAAUACCGCAUAACAAUGGAUGACACAUGUCAUUUAUUUGAAAGGGGCAAUUGCUCCACUACAAGAUGGACCUGCGUUGUAUUAGCUAGUAGGUGAGGUAAUGGCUCACCUAGGCGACGAUACAUAGCCGACCUGAGAGGGUGAUCCGCCAACCUGGGAAUGGGACACGGCCCAGACUCCCACGGGAGGCAGCAGUAGGGAAUCUUCGGCAAUGGGGGCAACCCUGACCGAGCAACGCCGCGUGAGUGAAGAAGGUUUUCGGAUCGUAAAGCUCUGUUGUAAGUCAAGAACGGGUGUGAGAGUGGAAAGUUCACACUGUGACGGUAGCUUACCAGAAAGGGACGGCUAACUACGUG